This 241-nucleotide unclassified non-coding RNA is filed under the name Hevea brasiliensis (rubber tree). The record is from RNAcentral. Lineage: Eukaryota; Viridiplantae; Streptophyta; Magnoliopsida; Malpighiales; Euphorbiaceae.
AAGAUCAAGCCCGACAACGACAAGGAUGUUGAGAAGCAGAAACGUCCAUACUCCGAGGACAUAAGAAUCCUGCGAAACGAGUGGGACAAUAGCGAAUGAAGCAAGGAUGCCUAGCAUGGGCCCCUGCUUCAUCCACGCGUUAUCGGAGAAGGCUGCGCGAUCAUCGGGCAGAUCCCGGCUCAGCGCGACCGAACAGACCUUGAGGCCGGAUCAGAAGGAUCAACAAGAGCGUGAAGAACGC